GCAGUAGCCGCGGGAACACGGAGGAUCCAAGCGUUAUCCGGAUUUAUUGGGUUUAAAGGGUGCGUAGGCGGCCUAUUAAGUCAGGGGUGAAAGACGGUAGCUCAACUAUCGCAGUGCCUUUGAUACUGAUAGGCUUGAAUGUACUUGAAGUGGGCGGAAUGUGACAAGUAGCGGUGAAAUGCAUAGAUAUGUCACGGAACACCGAUUGCGAAGGCAGCUCACUAAAGUAUGAUUGACGCUGAGGCACGAAAGCGUGGGGAUCAAACAGGAUUAGAUACCCCAGUAGUCCCUGUCUCUUAUAC
This 302-nucleotide ribosomal RNA is filed under the name uncultured bacterium. Its description in RNAcentral is "partial 16S ribosomal RNA". It matches the Rfam family "Bacterial small subunit ribosomal RNA", at positions 508 to 807 of the family's 1533-position model. The record is from RNAcentral.